AUUGAACGCUGGCGGCAGGCCUAACACAUGCAAGUCGAGCGGAUGAAGGGAGCUUGCUCCUGGAUUCAGCGGCGGACGGGUGAGUAAUGCCUAGGAAUCUGCCUGGUAUUGGGGGAUAACGUCCGGAAACGGGCGCUAAUACCGCAUACGUCCUGAGGGAGAAAGUGGGGGAUCUUCGGACCUCACGCUAUCAGAUGAGCCUAGGUCGGAUUAGCUAGUUGGUGGGGUAAAGGCCUACCAAGGCGACGAUCCGUAACUGGUCUGAGAGGAUGAUCAGUCACACUGGAACUGAGACACGGUCCAGACUCCUACGGGAGGCAGCAGUGGGGAAUAUUGGACAAUGGGCGAAAGCCUGAUCCAGCCAUGCCGCGUGAGUGAAGAAGGUCUUCGGAUUGUAAAGCACUUUAAGUUGGGAGGAAGGGCAGUAAGUUAAUACCUUGCUGUUUUGACGUUACCAACAGAAUAAGCACCGGCUAACUUCGUG
This 484-nucleotide ribosomal RNA is filed under the name uncultured bacterium. Its description in RNAcentral is "partial 16S ribosomal RNA". It matches the Rfam family "Bacterial small subunit ribosomal RNA", at positions 30 to 507 of the family's 1533-position model. The record is from RNAcentral.